GACGAACGCUGGCGGCGUGCUUAACACAUGCAAGUCGAACGAAGAGCGAUGGAUGUUUGCUUCUAUCAAUCUUAGUGGCGCGUGGGUGAGUCACGAGUAAUCAACCUGUCCUUCAGAGGGGGACAACAGAAGGAAACGAUUGCUAAUACUGCAUACGCUCUAAUCUCGGCAUCGAGGAUAGAUGAACGGUGGCCUCUACAUGUCUGCCAUCGCUGCAGCAGGGUAUUGCGUCUGUUUAGUUAGUAGGCGUGGAAACGGAGCACCAAGGUGAUGAUCAGUAGUCGGACGGAGAUGAUGGACAGCCACAUUGGGACUGAGACACGGCACAGACUCAUACAGAAGGCAGCAGGACGGAAACUGCCGCAAUGGGCGGGAGUCUGACGGAGCAACGCCGCGGGCGGAAUGACGGCCGUCGGGUUGGGGAUCUCUGUUUAUCGGGAGGAAAGGCCUUCUGGCGAAGAGGGAGAAGGAUUGACGGUACCGGAAUAGAAAGCCACGGCUAACUACGUG
Molecule: ribosomal RNA, 510 nt
Filed under: uncultured bacterium
Lineage: Bacteria
Description: partial 16S ribosomal RNA
Rfam family: Bacterial small subunit ribosomal RNA
Source: RNAcentral